This 277-nucleotide ribosomal RNA is filed under the name uncultured bacterium. RNAcentral describes it as "partial 16S ribosomal RNA". It matches the Rfam family "Bacterial small subunit ribosomal RNA", at positions 524 to 796 of the family's 1533-position model. The record is from RNAcentral.
UACGUAGGGUGCAAGCGUUAAUCGGAAUUACUGGGCGUAAAGCGUGCGCAGGCGGUUUUGUAAGUCUGUCGUGAAAUCCCCGGGCUUAACCUGGGAAUUGCGAUGGAGACUGCAAGGCUAGAAUCUGGCAGAGGGGGGUAGAAUUCCACGUGUAGCAGUGAAAUGCGUAAAGAUGUGGAGGAACACCGAUGGCGAAGGCAGCCCCCUGGGUCAAGAUUGACGCUCAUGCACGAAAGCGUGGGGAGCAAACGAGGAUUAGAGUACCCGAGAUACGUCC